GACGAACGCUGGCGGCGUGCUUAACACAUGCAAGUCGAACGGAAAGGCCCUGCUUUUGUGGGGUGCUCGAGUGGCGAACGGGUGAGUAACACGUGAGUAACCUGCCCUUGACUUUGGGAUAACUUCAGGAAACUGGGGCUAAUACCGGAUAGGAGCUCCUGCUGCAUGGUGGGGGUUGGAAAGUUUCGGCGGUUGGGGAUGGACUCGCGGCUUAUCAGCUUGUUGGUGGGGUAGUGGCUUACCAAGGCUUUGACGGGUAGCCGGCCUGAGAGGGUGAACGGCCACAUUGGGACUGAGAUACGGCCCAGACUCCUACGGGAGGCAGCAGUGGGGAAUAUUGCACAAUAGGCGGAAGCCUGAUGCAGCAACGCCGCGUGCGGGAUGACGGCCUUCGGGUUGUAAACCGCUGUCGCCUGUGACGAAGCGUGAGUGACGGUAAUGGGUAAAGAAGCAACGGCUAACUACGUG
RNAcentral lists this ribosomal RNA (468 nucleotides) under uncultured bacterium. RNAcentral's name for it is "partial 16S ribosomal RNA". It matches the Rfam family "Bacterial small subunit ribosomal RNA", at positions 28 to 507 of the family's 1533-position model. The record is from RNAcentral.